CCUACCCGCUGCACCCAACCCUCCCCAGACUUAGGACCCUUAGACACUAGGGCUUAGUGCAUGCGACACCCCCUGCGGGCCUAGGUGGGGAGGGCAGUGGGAGGUGCCAUGGGCGCCUGAGCGGUGAUGGGCUCUGGGUCCCGGGGCAGGACCGAGGGGCCCAGCCGGUACCGCUCCUCCAACAGAAGUGCAGCCGGAACAGAGCGGCGCCUGCGCACCAGGAGGUCAGAGAUUCAGAAACGCAGGUGCUGCCCAAGGACUCGCCCCCAGCACGGUCCUCACACUCCCUUCCGCGGCGGGACCCUCCGGAGCCAGGAGCUCCUGCGGGUGCGGGUCUUUGAGUUUGCACAACCGCCAUGCAGGCCUUCCCUGAGCUGGUCAGCAAUAUAAAGAAAUUAAAACUGGACAUUUCAUCUUUUGAUCAACUACGUUCUCUGGAAGCAUCUGCAAUCAACAAUCAGACCUUCUGAUUUCUGUGGCCUUUGAUCCUCGCUGCUGGUGAGGACCUCUCUGGAGCCGUGUCGCCCUGGAGGGAAGGCACAAGGACCGACGUGUCCCUGGCCGGGUCUCCGCAGCCACAGUCCUCAGGUGCCCGCUCUAUCCACUGAGCCAAACCGGCUGAGGCCAGACCAAAGCACUUGAUGGCAGAUCCAGCAACCAGAGAACAGAUUGGAAAAUGUGGGGAAGAGCGUUUUCCCGCAAGAAGGAGGAGGACUGAAGUGAGAGGCGCUGAGAGGAACGGCUGCGGAGGCUCCCUCUGCUACGUGGACAACAGUCCUCUGGGGAGACCCCGCCUCCUCUGCGCACAGUGCAGAUUCCGGCGACACCCCUGCAGCUCCGUGGGGGUCGGUGCCACUGAGAGCCGCCCCUGGGGUGCAGCAGCACAGGCGCACCCACCGCCCUGGCAGGGCGUGCAGGUCGGGCUGGAGGUGUCUGCAGUCCACAAGACCCGGGGGUUGCGGAGUGUGGCUUGGGGUUCCCACCCCUCCCAGCACAGAGCAUGGGCUGGGCCCUGAGAACCAGAAGGGAGUGUCCGCCUUCACCUGGGGGGAGAGAAGCAGGAGCCCCUGGGGGAGGGCGGGAC
This is a long non-coding RNA of Myotis myotis, 1084 nucleotides long. RefSeq lists it as uncharacterized. Lineage: Eukaryota; Metazoa; Chordata; Mammalia; Chiroptera; Vespertilionidae. The transcript has 4 exons. The record is from RefSeq and is a predicted model, not a curated record.